This 247-nucleotide ribosomal RNA is filed under the name uncultured soil bacterium. RNAcentral's name for it is "partial 16S ribosomal RNA". It matches the Rfam family "Bacterial small subunit ribosomal RNA", at positions 26 to 288 of the family's 1533-position model. The record is from RNAcentral.
AGAAUCAACGCUGGCGGCGCGCUUAACACAUGCAAGUCGAACGAGAAAGUGGAGUAAUCCAUGAGUAAAGUGGCGUACGGGUGAGUAACACGUGGGUAAUCUACCUCUUGGUGGGGGAUAACCCUGGGAAACCGGGGCUAAUACCGCAUAAGACCGUAAGGUGAAAGGGGAAAUUCGCCGAGAGAGGAGCCCGCGGCUGAUUAGCUAGUUGGUGAGGUAAAGCUCACCAAGGCGAAGAUCGGUAGCC